AUUGAACGCUGGCGGCAUGCCUUACACAUGCAAGCCGAACGGUAACAGGUCUUCGGAUGCUGACGAGUGGCGAACGGGUGAGUAAUACAUCGGAACGUGCCCGAUCGUGGGGGAUAACGGAGCGAAAGCUUUGCUAAUACCGCAUACGAUCUACGGAUGAAAGCGGGGGAUCUUCGGACCUCGCGCGGACGGAGCGGCCGAUGACAGAUUAGGUAGUCGGUGGGAUAAAAGCUUACCAAGCCGACGAUCUGUAGCUGGUCUGAGAGGAUGAUCAGCCACACUGGGACUGAGACACGGCCCAG
Molecule: ribosomal RNA, 302 nt
Filed under: uncultured Alicycliphilus sp.
Lineage: Bacteria; Pseudomonadati; Pseudomonadota; Betaproteobacteria; Burkholderiales; Comamonadaceae
Description: bacterial SSU rRNA
Rfam family: Bacterial small subunit ribosomal RNA
Source: RNAcentral